CAAAAUCUUUGAGCCAAAUUAAACACAAGAAAAGUUUCUUCAAAUGGGAUCUCAGAAUGAGCACAUAGUGAUGUUACCAUUCAUGGCUCAUGGCCAUCUCAUACCUUUUCUUGCUCUAGCAAGGCAAAUCCGCUGCAGAACUGGCUUCACCGUCACCAUCGCCAAUACCCCUUUCAACAUUCAAUACCUUCGUUCCACCAUCAACUUCUCCUCAUCCCCACCUGAACCCAACAUCUGUCUCGUCGAGCUUCCUUUCUCCGUCGCCGACUAUGGCCUACCCGCCAACACUGAAAACUCUGAAAACUUGCCUUUAGACCUUAUUGGGAAAUUUUUCACAGCAUCUACAGGUCUUAAGAACCCAGUUCAUUGUCUUCUAUCUGAUAUUGUAGCGAAAGAAGGGAAGCCUCCUCUCUGUGUAAUAUCAGAUGUUUUCUUUGGAUGGGCAAAUGAAGUUGCCAAAAGUGUAGGUACUGUUAAUCUGAGCUUCUCUACCGGCGGCGCCUAUGGCUCCCUUGCUUUUAUUUNUUUCUUUGUGGUUGAAUCUUCCUCACCGGCAAGCUGGUUCCGAUAAGUUUCAUCUGCCGGGAUUUCCUGAUAGCUGCCGUUUUCAUAUAACUCAGUUGCAUCAAUUUUUGAGAAACGCAGAUGGUACUGAUUUAUGGUCCAAGUUUAUGCAACCACAGAUUUCACUUUCUUUGCAGUCCUUCGGAAUUUUAUGCAACACAGCAGAGGAAAUUGAGCCCCUAGCAUUGGAGUGGUUGAGGAAAUACAUUAAGCUUAGUGUUUGGACUAUUGGACCUCUUCUUCCACCUGCUGUGCUCAAUGGUUCAUCCAUUUCAUGUUCAGGUUCAAGCAUAAGUAUUCAGCGUG
This 870-nucleotide unclassified non-coding RNA is filed under the name Hevea brasiliensis (rubber tree). The record is from RNAcentral. Lineage: Eukaryota; Viridiplantae; Streptophyta; Magnoliopsida; Malpighiales; Euphorbiaceae.